Molecule: non-coding RNA, 45 nt
Filed under: Schistosoma curassoni
Lineage: Eukaryota; Metazoa; Platyhelminthes; Trematoda; Strigeidida; Schistosomatidae
Source: RNAcentral
AUUCAACUGACGCGUAUGAAAUAAGACGAAACGCGCUUCCUGGAU